CAGUCGCCGCGAGAACACGUAGGUGGCAAGCGUUGUCCGGAAUUAUUGGGCGUAAAGGGUUCGCAGGCGGUUUCUUAAGUCUGAUGUGAAAGCCCCCGGCUCAACCGGGGAGGGUCAUUGGAAACUGGGAAACUUGAGUGCAGAAGAGGAGAGUGGAAUUCCACGUGUAGCGGUGAAAUGCGUAGAGAUGUGGAGGAACACCAGUGGCGAAGGCGACUCUCUGGUCUGUAACUGACGCUGAGGAGCGAAAGCGUGGGGAGCGAACAGGAUUAGAUACCCCUGUAGUCCCUGUCUCUUAUAC
RNAcentral lists this ribosomal RNA (301 nucleotides) under uncultured bacterium. RNAcentral describes it as "partial 16S ribosomal RNA". It matches the Rfam family "Bacterial small subunit ribosomal RNA", at positions 509 to 807 of the family's 1533-position model. The record is from RNAcentral.